Molecule: long non-coding RNA, 1798 nt
Filed under: Venturia canescens
Lineage: Eukaryota; Metazoa; Arthropoda; Insecta; Hymenoptera; Ichneumonidae
Description: uncharacterized LOC122416430
Source: RNAcentral
AAAAAUAUAUAUCGAAAAACUCACCAGGGUGACGCGUCUCUCUCUGUCCCCGAUCCACGGCGGCGUGCGCUCUCGCGACGCCGCCGUGCAGCGUCAUCAGAAUUGCACGUGCAUCGGCCGAGCGCUCCAGAGCUGUAACGAGGAUAGAGCACAGCCUCUCGCCCACACCUGGAGCCAUGAUACAUUUUCUCGCUCACUCUCUCUUGUGAAGCGCACGAGCGCGAGAGCAGCAGCAACAGCAUAUGCCCUCUCGCUCACACUCGCGACACUGUGCAUUCUCUCACUUGCUCUUUCGCUAGGUGUAGAGGCGCAGCGCUUCAAAGCUGCAGCAGUGAUACCAUAUACCGUCUCGCUCGCUCUCAUCACACUGAUCCUUUAGCGAGCAAACCUCUCUCUCGCUCUCCCGUGAGACGCGAUGCUUUAUACAGAGCUGUCAAAACGACGCAUACGGCUGCAGCCUCUUGAUACCUCUAAACAAACCCCACCGAUAUAUAUUCUUUAUUAUAUGCUAUUUUUGCGGAUUCAACCGAUUCACUUAUGAAGGACGUAUCUCCGGGGGCUAAAGACACAGCUCGGUCUUCGGGAGAAGAUGCUAUACAGGAGAUGGAGCAAUAUGCUCGGAAAUAUGCAUGCACAGGCAUAAACAAAGUUGUCUCACUCGUGCGCGUGCUUUUUCAUGCAAACACCGGGGACCAUGCAGAGUACUGUAAAACUUCAGCGACUGCUCCUUUGCCGUCUUGAAAAAAAAAAAAUAUCGCUAGCAUUUUAAUUAUGAUUCACACCUAUCUUCUCGCUCGAGAUAUGUCAGUAGCGAUUCAACCGUCAUAUAGAGCGGUAUUUAACGAUUACCCCUUACAAUGUCGGAUGAAUCAGUGCGUUCUUGUAUUUUGGGUCUUUUACGUCUAACAAAACCGCAUAGCGCUCAGCUGAGACGUCGGUGCAAUGAUCUAUGGUGUUACGAGCUGCUGCGUUUAUCGGGUGAUCGACUCGUGAACAGACUUAAAUACGUGAUCUGGUGGGCCCCUUUACGCGCUCUAGUGGUGGCCUAUAACAGAGGCAUAUUAAGUGGUCAACGAGUGCUGGGUGUUGUGUAUGAGGAGUUACAGCGCCGCGGUGUUUUAGAAGCUCCCCGCGUAAGAGGCCUUGUCGAUGAAAUCAGAUGUAAGUACCAUUAGCUCGAUAAAUCACUGUUGUUGGCGGUUGGCAAUACAGCAGUUAUUUUUACCAUAGGCUAUCGGCAGUUUUACGAUGCGGGGAGUGACGAAGAAGAGGCUCUCGCUGAGGCGACGAGAGCUGCGGAGGAAACGGAUCUAGAGCGUCAAGCCGUCCUCUACCAACCGCUGCAUGAGGAGGGGGUAGGGGAAGAGCCUAGAGCGAGCACCUCGGCAGCCCCGGCCGAGCCGAUACCGCUGGAUUUCACCAUAGGCCAUCGACAGUUUUACGACGCGGUGAGCGAUGAAGAAGAAGAAGAGGCUCUCGCUGAGGCGACGAGAGCUGUGGAGGAAGCAGAGCAUCAAACCGCCCUCUACCAACCGCAGUAUGAGGAGAGGGCUGAGGAAGAGCCUAGGGCGAGCACCUCGGCAGCAUCGGCCGAACCGAUACCGCUGCAACCAGAGUCUGAUGACGACGAGGCGUCGACUAUUCUCAACCCCUCCUUGAUGUUUAGCGAUCGGUCUGAUAUACUGGCUGUGUACCGGCAAGCCAGAGCAAACGAUGACGACGGAGCGAUAGCGGGUCCAUCGUAUCACCACCAGCGUCAGCAGGAAGAUGACCUCGUACAGCCCGAGAAUCAGCUGGG